GUUUUCACACCAAAAAACUACCUUGAGGUGGUAGCGCUGGAAACGGCGUGGAGGUUCGAGUCCUCUCAACCGCACCA
Molecule: transfer RNA, 77 nt
Filed under: Hyphomicrobium sp. MC1
Lineage: Bacteria; Pseudomonadati; Pseudomonadota; Alphaproteobacteria; Hyphomicrobiales; Hyphomicrobiaceae
Description: tRNA-Leu (GAG) (tRNA-Leu-GAG-2-1)
Source: RNAcentral